UUCUCGAGUUCAUUUUUACAGAUGAUGGCCUAAGGCAAACAGGAUUAAAGUGACUUGUCUAGGAUCACACAGCUAGUAAUUGCCUGAGGCUGGAUUUGAAAUCAUAAAGAUGAAUCUUCUUGAUUCCAAGCCCAGUGCUCUAUCCACUGCACCACCUAGCUGACCCAUAUCUUCUGGUGAUAUAUGACUAAAAAUCAGUUAAAAUUGAUGAUCACCCAAAGGGUAAUCAGGAACUGAGUUAUAUAACACUUUAAUGUUUGCAAUGUACUUUAUGUACAUUAUCUCAUUUAAUCUUCUCAACAACAUUCCUGUAAGAGAUGUACUCUUAUUAUCUUCAUUUAAUAGAUGAAACCAAUUUACAGAUGCUAAAUGACCUCCCCAGGUCUCUGAGUUAGUCAAGGAGCGUCUGAUUGGUCUGGUGGUGCUGUGCACAGUCCUGGCAUUGGUCCAUGGAAACUGUCAAAAGGGAGGUCUUGAUGUGGUCAUGAGCCCUGUAGGUGCCAGGCCAGUGUGUAUGGACUCAGUUGAUAAUAAGUUGUACAAGAUGGGCUCCAGAUGGCAAAACAGCCAAUGUAUGCAAUGUUCCUGCACACCUAGGGGUGUAAGCUGCUGUGAGAGCAUCAAUCCGUGUAGCUGAAGAACUGAUGGUCUUUAAGAGAGCAACUUUGGUUUCUUUGUUGGAGAAUAUCUAACCCCUAUGGAUCUCGGGAACAAGAAGGCAAUAAACUAUUAGCUGGAAGUCA
RNAcentral lists this long non-coding RNA (743 nucleotides) under Monodelphis domestica (gray short-tailed opossum). Its description in RNAcentral is "lncRNA (ENSMODG00000048965.1)". Lineage: Eukaryota; Metazoa; Chordata; Mammalia; Didelphimorphia; Didelphidae. The record is from RNAcentral.